CAAUAGCGUAUAUUAAAGUUGUUGCAGUUAAAAAGCUCGUAGUUGGAUUUCUGGUGGGGGUCGCUGGUCCGCUGCGAAAGCGGCGUGUACCGAUGCGUACCUACCGCCAUCCUCGGGGGAACUGCGUGUGGGAUUAGUUUCUCGUGCGUAUGGACGCCCGUCAUUUACUGUGAAAAAAUUAGAGUGUUCAAAGCAGGCUUAGGCCGUUGAAUACAUUAGCAUGGAAUAAUAAGAUAGGACCUUGGCGGUCUAUUUUGUUGGUUUGCACGCCAAGGUAAUGAUUAAUAGGGAUAGUUGGGGGUAUUCGUAUUCAAUUGUCAGAGGUGAAAUUCUUAGAUUUAUGGAAGACGAACUACUGCGAAAGCAUUUACCAAGGAUGUUUUCAUUA
Molecule: ribosomal RNA, 388 nt
Filed under: uncultured eukaryote
Lineage: Eukaryota
Description: partial 18S ribosomal RNA
Rfam family: Eukaryotic small subunit ribosomal RNA
Source: RNAcentral